RNAcentral lists this ribosomal RNA (253 nucleotides) under uncultured bacterium. RNAcentral describes it as "partial 16S ribosomal RNA". It matches the Rfam family "Bacterial small subunit ribosomal RNA", at positions 524 to 776 of the family's 1533-position model. The record is from RNAcentral.
UACGGGGGGGGCAAGCGUUGUUCGGAAUUACUGGGCGUAAAGGGUCCGUAGGUGGCUUGCUAAGUCAGACGUGAAAUCCCUCGGCUUAACCGGGGAACUGCGUCUGAUACUGGAUGGCUAGAGUGUGGGAGAGGGAUGCGGAAUUCCAGGUGUAGCGGUGAAAUGCGUAGAUAUCUGGAGGAACACCGGUGGCGAAGGCGGCAUCCUGGACCACGACUGACACUGAAAAGCGAAAGCCAGGGGAGCAAACGGG